GCCGGACGCGGUGGCGCGCGCCUGUAGUCCCAGCUACUCGGGAGGCUGAGGUGGGAGGAUCGCUUGAGUCCAGGAGUUCUGGGCUGCAGUGCGCUAUGCCGAUCGGGUGUCCGCACUAAGUUCGGCAUCAAUAUGGUGACCUCCCGGGAGCGGGGGACCACCAGGUUGCCUAAGGAGGGGUGAACCGGCCCAGGUCGGAAACGGAGCAGGUCAAAACUCCCGUGCUGAUCAGUAGUGGGAUCGCGCCUGUGAAUAGCCACUGCACUCCAGCCUGGGCAAUAUAGUGAGACCCUGUCUCU
Cavia aperea (Brazilian guinea pig) is the source of this 299-nucleotide unclassified non-coding RNA. It matches the Rfam family "Metazoan signal recognition particle RNA". From Rfam's summary of the family: The signal recognition particle (SRP) is a universally conserved ribonucleoprotein. It is involved in the co-translational targeting of proteins to membranes. NCBI's taxonomy places the organism in Eukaryota, Metazoa, Chordata, Mammalia, Rodentia, Caviidae. The record is from Ensembl.